UACGUAGGGUGCAAGCGUUGUCCGGAAUUAUUGGGCGUAAAGAGCUCGUAGGCGGCUUGUCGCGUCGGCUGUGAAAACCUGGGGCUCAACCCCGGGCCUGCAGCCGAUACGGGCAAGCUAGAAUUCGGUAGGGGAGACUGGAAUUACUGGUGUAGCGGUGAAAUGCGCAGAUAUCAGGAGGAACACCGGUGGCGAAGGCGGGUCGCUGGGCCGUAACUGACGCUGAGGAGCGAAAGCGUGGGGAGCGAACAGG
Molecule: ribosomal RNA, 253 nt
Filed under: uncultured bacterium
Lineage: Bacteria
Description: partial 16S ribosomal RNA
Rfam family: Bacterial small subunit ribosomal RNA
Source: RNAcentral